RNAcentral lists this ribosomal RNA (468 nucleotides) under uncultured bacterium. RNAcentral's name for it is "partial 16S ribosomal RNA". It matches the Rfam family "Bacterial small subunit ribosomal RNA", at positions 28 to 507 of the family's 1533-position model. The record is from RNAcentral.
GACGAACGCUGGCGGCGUGCUUAACACAUGCAAGUCGAACGGUGAUGCUCCAGCUUGCUGGAGUGGAUCAGUGGCGAACGGGUGAGUAACACGUGAGCAACCUGCCCCAGACUCUGGAAUAAGCGCUGGAAACGGCGUCUAAUACUGGAUACGAAACCGGCCCGCAUGGGCAUGGUUUGGAAAGUUUUUCGGUUUGGGAUGGGCUCGCGGCCUAUCAGCUUGUUGGUGAGGUAAUGGCUCACCAAGGCGACGACGGGUAGCCGGCCUGAGAGGGCGACCGGCCACACUGGGACUGAGACACGGCCCAGACUCCUACGGGAGGCAGCAGUGGGGAAUAUUGCACAAUGGGCGAAAGCCUGAUGCAGCGACGCCGCGUGAGGGAUGACGGCCUUCGGGUUGUAAACCUCUUUCAGCAGGGAAGAAGCGAAAGUGACGGUACCUGCAGAAGAAGCACCGGCUAACUACGUG